RNAcentral lists this ribosomal RNA (442 nucleotides) under uncultured bacterium. RNAcentral describes it as "partial 16S ribosomal RNA". It matches the Rfam family "Bacterial small subunit ribosomal RNA", at positions 338 to 795 of the family's 1533-position model. The record is from RNAcentral.
CCUACGGGAGGCAGCAGUGGGGGAUAUUGCACAAUGGGGGAAACCCUGAUGCAGCGACGCCGCGUGAGGGAAGACGGCCUUCGGGUUGUAAACCUCUGUCGCAGGGGACGAAGGCAGUGACGGUACCCUGGGAGGAAGCCACGGGUAACUACGUGCCAGCAGCCGCGGUAAUACGUGGGUGGCGAGGGUUGUCAGGAAUUACGGGGGGUAAGGGGAGCGUAGGCGGGAGUGCAAGUAGUAUGUAUAUAUUAUGGGCUCACCUGAUAAAAGCGUUCAAAACUGCACAUCUUGAGUGUAGUAGAGGCAGGCGGAAUUCCAAGUGUAGCGGUGAAAUGCGUAGAUAUUAGGAGGAACACCAGUGGCGAAGGCGGCCUGCUGGGCUUUAACUGACGCUGAGGCUCGAAAGCGUGGGUAGCAAACAGGAUUAGAUACCCCUGUAGUC